AUGUUUGCACUUCAUCCAGCACCAGGGAUGUUCAGCCAUCCAGCUCUGCUUUCAUCAGCCUCCAGGUCCCAUUUUCUCCCUGCAACCCAGCUGUGCUUGGCACCAAGAGAUCAUUUCCAGGUUCUUCAUGCAUUAAAAAAGGAAUGGCCCAAAGAAACAAGGAGAAGUAGUGAAGGUCGCAUUGUGAUGAUGGCGCUUUAUCCAGCACUAACCUGUGCUCUGCACCUCAGAGGUUUCCUGAGAGAUGGAGAGACAAUUGCCAGUUUCCAGCCACACACAUCCUGGAGCUGCCAGCCUCAUGAAGACUACUGUGACUGUAGAUGGGAAGAGUCAGAUGCCUCCACGGCCUCCUCCAUGGAGAUGAGAAAACAGAAGAAAGGCUGGCAAAGCAGAAACAGCUCAUCAGAUGCUCUGAACUUCCCUUGGCUCCCUUCUCUUCACAUCUCUCACAAACCUCAAGCAUGAAGAUAUAUGAAAGCUCCACGUGCUCAGUUCAGCUGUUGUACUUCUUGCUGUGCCAACAUUUCAUGCCCCAGCUCUUCCCCAGGGCUAUCAUAAAAGAGUGGAAAACCUAACUCACGAGACAAUACUGUUACCAUUAUCUAACUGGACCAUGCUAAAAAACCCUCCAGCCAGAGGAAAACCCUUUUGUAUCAUGAGCAGGACAAACACAAGUGCUGACUGUCCCAGCACACUGGGAGGAGAGACUCCUGGCAAGAUGUGUUUCUCAGGAUCCAGAAAAACUAGGAUCAGGUUUCCCUUGGCUGUAAGCCCACUCUUGGGUAUCCCCUGCUCUGCAAAUUCCUUUGUGGCAUCACCUCCAUCUUCUUCCCAGUCCUGACCUGGGAGGUCUGUUUCACCAUUCCUCCUUUCCCAAACAUGAGAAAAACCCUAAUUUAACUUUUCUUUAACCUGCCCUAGUCCUGUGUACUCCCCACACCCUCCCCCUCCCCAAACACAUUUUAGAACCAAGAAAUUCCUCUCAAACAGGAGGUGCUUGAGGACAACAGGAGUUUGAAAAGAAGGGCCUUGCCUUGUUAACUAGAGGUGCCUGCCAGCCAACAUCCCAGCCCCUGAAC
Molecule: long non-coding RNA, 1079 nt
Filed under: Cyanistes caeruleus (blue tit)
Lineage: Eukaryota; Metazoa; Chordata; Aves; Passeriformes; Paridae
Description: lncRNA (ENSCCEG00000024501.1)
Source: RNAcentral